AUUUAUAUGAUGAUUUGAUACUGCCCCAGUCUGAAGGCUAUGAAGAUCAGUUAUUCUGAUUAUCA
This is a small nucleolar RNA of Orussus abietinus, 65 nucleotides long. Lineage: Eukaryota; Metazoa; Arthropoda; Insecta; Hymenoptera; Orussidae. The record is from RefSeq and is a predicted model, not a curated record.